GUUAGGUUCCUAAGCCUAUUUCAAGGACUAAUCAAGAAGUUUUGACAUGAAGUUUCACAAAACAUUUUCAACAUGCUUGAUCAUUGAUUUACCACCAACCUAACUUCAGAUUUUUCCUAAUCAUGUGAGCUUGUUUGCAAAAAAAAAAAAACUAUUCACAAUAUUCACACUACUUACAAACUUAUCACCAAAUAUUUAAACAUUAAACUUAAAAACUUCCAAAAGAUAUUGUCUCAAACAUUGUCAGGUACCACACCACAUGUUCAGAAUACAAAAGCUUAACAAAACCACAUAAAACACAAUUUAAAUUUGUUCACAACAAAAACAACUAAAUAAAUCAACUAGUAAAAGAAAUAAAUGACUGAAAGCUUGUAAAUUUUCACUCAUUUUGGUGAGCUUUCAGUCAUCAUCUGAACCCGCUUCUUCUUCUUCCUCCUCCUCCAUGCUUGCAUCACCCUCACCACCAUCAUCUUCUUCAUCAUCAUCAUCCAUACCAGCUUCUUCAUCAGCAUCAGCAUUUGGUGCCAUCCCUCCCCCAAUGAAAGUAGGCCUGACCUCAGGCCAUGCAACAUAGGUUUGAAAAUCUUGCGGUGUCAUCACCGACUGCCCGGUGUGCUGAUUAUAGAAGGACUGCUGCAUUGCACUC
This 646-nucleotide long non-coding RNA is filed under the name Trifolium pratense (red clover). Its description in RNAcentral is "long non-coding RNA (TPRA_LNC008486)". Lineage: Eukaryota; Viridiplantae; Streptophyta; Magnoliopsida; Fabales; Fabaceae. The record is from RNAcentral.